CCUACGGGUGGCUGCAGUGGGGAAUAUUGCACAAUGGGGGGAACCCUGAUGCAGCGACGCCGCGUGAGUGAAGACGUAUCUCGGUACGUAAAGCUCUAUCAGCAGGGAAGAAAAUGACGGUACCUGACUAAGAAGCUCCGGCUAACUACGUGCCAGCAGCCGCGGUAAUACGUAGGGGGCAAGCGUUAUCCGGAUUUACUGGGUGUAAAGGGAGCGUAGGCGGGACUGCAAGUCCGGAGUGAAAUCCCAAGGCUUAACCAUGGGACUGCUCUGGAAACUGUGGAGCUUGAGUGAGGGAGGGGCAGGCGGAAUUCCUAGUGUAGCGGUGAAAUGCGUAGAUAUUAGGAGGAACACCAGCGGCGAAGGCGGCCUGCUGGACCGUAACUGACGUUGAGGCUCGAAAGCGUGGGGAGCAAACAGGAUUAGAUACCCGAGUAGUC
Molecule: ribosomal RNA, 440 nt
Filed under: uncultured bacterium
Lineage: Bacteria
Description: partial 16S ribosomal RNA
Rfam family: Bacterial small subunit ribosomal RNA
Source: RNAcentral